GCCGGAGUAGCUCAGUCGGUAGAGCAGCUGAUUUGUAAUCAGCCGGUCGGGGGUUCAAGUCCCUUCUCCGGCU
Molecule: transfer RNA, 73 nt
Filed under: candidate division Zixibacteria bacterium RBG_16_53_22
Lineage: Bacteria; Pseudomonadati; Candidatus Zixiibacteriota
Description: tRNA-Thr
Rfam family: tRNA
About the family: Transfer RNA (tRNA) molecules are approximately 80 nucleotides in length. Their secondary structure includes four short double-helical elements and three loops (D, anti-codon, and T loops). Further hydrogen bonds mediate the characteristic L-shaped molecular structure. tRNAs have two regions of fundamental functional importance: the anti-codon, which is responsible for specific mRNA codon recognition, and the 3' end, to which the tRNAs corresponding amino acid is attached (by aminoacyl-tRNA synthetases). tRNAs cope with the degeneracy of the genetic code in two manners: having more than one tRNA (with a specific anti-codon) for a particular amino acid; and 'wobble' base-pairing, i.e. permitting non-standard base-pairing at the 3rd anti-codon position.
Source: RNAcentral